This 497-nucleotide ribosomal RNA is filed under the name uncultured bacterium. RNAcentral's name for it is "partial 16S ribosomal RNA". It matches the Rfam family "Bacterial small subunit ribosomal RNA", at positions 28 to 507 of the family's 1533-position model. The record is from RNAcentral.
GAUGAACGCUGGCGGCGUGCCUAAUACAUGCAAGUCGAGCGAACAGAUGAGGAGCUUGCUCCUCUGACGUUAGCGGCGGACGGGUGAGUAACACGUGGAUAACCUACCUAUAAGACUGGGAUAACUUCGGGAAACCGGAGCUAAUACCGGAUAAUAUAUUGAACCGCAUGGUUCAAUAGUGAAAGACGGUUUUGCUGUCACUUAUAGAUGGAUCCGCGCCGCAUUAGCUAGUUGGUAAGGUAACGGCUUACCAAGGCAACGAUGCGUAGCCGACCUGAGAGGGUGAUCGGCCACACUGGAACUGAGACACGGUCCAGACUCCUACGGGAGGCAGCAGUAGGGAAUCUUCCGCAAUGGGCGAAAGCCUGACGGAGCAACGCCGCGUGAGUGAUGAAGGUCUUCGGAUCGUAAAACUCUGUUAUUAGGGAAGAACAAAUGUGUAAGUAACUAUGCACGUCUUGACGGUACCUAAUAAGAAAGCCACGGCUAACUACGUG